AACGAACGCUGGCGGCAUGCCUAACACAUGCAAGUCGAACGAGACCUUCGUGUCUUUGGGCGCACGUGUGCUUAACGCGGGGUAACCUGCCCGUAGGUUCGGAAUAACUCCCCGAAAGGUGUGCUAAUACCGCUUAAUGUCUUCGGACCAAAGAUUUAUGGCCUUUGGAUGGGCGCGCGUUGGAUUAGCUAGUUGGUAGGGUAAUAGCAUAGCAAGGCGACGAUGCUUAGCUGGUCUGUUAGGAUGCUAAGAUACACUGGGACUGAGACACGGCCCAGAAUCGUACGCGAGGCAGGAGAGGGGAAUAUUGGACAAUGGGGGAAGGCGUGAUAAAGCAAUGACGCGUAAGUGAUGAAGGGCUUAGGGUUGUAAAGCUGUUUUAGACGGGAUGAUAAUGACAGUAACGGGAGAAUAAGCACCGGCUAACUACGUG
RNAcentral lists this ribosomal RNA (433 nucleotides) under uncultured bacterium. RNAcentral describes it as "partial 16S ribosomal RNA". It matches the Rfam family "Bacterial small subunit ribosomal RNA", at positions 29 to 507 of the family's 1533-position model. The record is from RNAcentral.